UGGGGAAUAUUGCACAAUGGGCGAAAGCCUGAUCCAGCAAUGCCGCGUGCGGGAAGAAGGCCUUCGGGUUGUAAACCGCUUUUGUCAGGGAAGAAAUCUUCUGAGUUAAUACCUCGGGAGGAUGACGGUACCUGAAGAAUAAGCACCAGCUAACUACGUGCCAGCAGCCGCGGUAAUACGUAGGGUGCAAGCGUUAAUCGGAAUUACUGGGCGUAAAGCGUGCGCAGGCGGUUUUGUAAGACAGAGGUGAAAUCCCCGGCGUCAACCUGGGAACUGCCUUUGUGACUGCAAGGCUUGAGUGCGGCAGAGGGGGAUGGAAUUCCGCGUGUAGCAGUGAAAUGCGUAGAUAUGCGGAGGAACACCGAUGGCGAAGGCAAUCCCCUGGGCCUGCACUGACGCUCAUGCACGAAAGCGUGGGGAGCAAACAGGAUUAGAUACCCCUGGUAGUCCACGCCCUAAACGAUGUCAACUGGUUGUUGGGAAGGUUCCUUCUCAGUAACGUAGCUAACGCGUGAAGUUGACCGCCUGGGGAGUACGGCCGCAAGGUUGAAACUUAAAUUGAAUUGACGGGGU
This 573-nucleotide ribosomal RNA is filed under the name uncultured bacterium. RNAcentral describes it as "partial 16S ribosomal RNA". It matches the Rfam family "Bacterial small subunit ribosomal RNA", at positions 355 to 919 of the family's 1533-position model. The record is from RNAcentral.